Jaculus jaculus (lesser Egyptian jerboa) is the source of this 2790-nucleotide long non-coding RNA. RefSeq lists it as uncharacterized. The transcript is spliced from 3 exons. The record is from RefSeq and is a predicted model, not a curated record. NCBI's taxonomy places the organism in Eukaryota, Metazoa, Chordata, Mammalia, Rodentia, Dipodidae.
CUCACACUGAUUCACUUGUCUCAGUGUUCACCUUAGCACCUACCUGGAGCAAGAGCCUUUGCACCCUACAUAUGGUGUGGGAGCGUGUGUGAUGAGAUGCUGCUGCUAGAGCUCUGGUGCUGCCUGGGAACUGGGAGCAGCGGCUGCCUCGGGCGCAUGAGAGAGGCGUUUAGGACACAAUGGCCAGAGAAGGAACUGAAGACCUUCGUUUGGUUCCUGUGUGGAGUGGUUGGUCUGCUGUUGGUGGCACUACCUUGGGAGAUUGUGGGAACUUUAGGAAAGAAACGGGUCCUUGAGAACAGGUCCUUGGAGGUCAUAUAUUGCCUUGGAUCCUUCCUGUGUCCUCUUCUCAACUUCUUGUCCACCUGAGGGCAUGCUAAAAGGGAGUGAAUCUUUGUGAGACAUCAUCUCUCCCUCCCCCAGGAGAUGCCAGCACUCACAGCCCUGUGAACGCUUCAGGGAAGAAGCCCAGAAUCUUCCUCUGAGGAAUAGCAAGUAAGGCUGUUAAAUGAACUCUUCCCACUGCCCACAUGAAUGGGCUAGAUUCUGCAUCUCAGAGUCCAAUUUAUCUCAGAGAAAAGAUGCCACACCUUAACAUCUGCAGCCAAAUUCAGCCAGACUCCCAUGAGUAGAAGGUCAGAAAUGACCAUUUGGUUCAAGUGUGCACAUUCCCCCAGGGUGGGGGCUUGGGGAGUGAAUUUCUCUUCAAGAACAGGGCACAGGAAAUGAUGUUGCUGGCCAGAGCAGAGAGCCAAUUUACUACUGAACCACUUCUGCCUUCAAAGCUGUGGCAGGAUGUUGCCCAGCAUUUGCAGCCCCAACUACAUGGAGACUCUGUCCCCAGUCUUUGAAUCUGCACAACUGAGUGGCCUCUCCAAAGAUGCUUCAGAUCUUUUACCCUGUGGGUUUGUAACCCCUGAGGUUUCAUAGAUAAUCAGCGUGCCUCCCUCCAGGGAGAACCUCACUCAAUAAGCCCAAUAGAUGGCUUUGUCCCUGGUCCACACCCUCUGUACUUCCAGCUGCAAGAGUGCAGAGUUCUGUGUAGGCCUGGACUCACUUCAAGCUGAGAAAGUCUUGGUAGCUCAGGUGUAUCCAAGUGGACCAAGAAGUGUAAAAAACAUCAUGCCCUGGAGGCCAAGAGUUAGGCUAAGUGCCGCUGCCUCUUGUCUCUAAGGACUUUUCUGCAUCUAUCUUGGGAGGUUCUGAUGGAAGCAGAUGUCUACCAAAGUGGUAGCCUUCAAAAGAAAUUUUCUCCUUUCCUCACUUCCUGAAUUACACCCCUACAUAAACUCCUGUACAUGCCCCCUUUGCCCAGUCAGCUUUGGGAGGACCUCCAUCUGAGACACCAAGCUGAUAUAAGUGCAUGACCCUCUCAGUGGUUUCUAGUGGAAGCAGCAGUCUUCUCCAGGAAGUGGCCUGGAGAAUUCUAGAAGUGACUGGGUUUUAAGGGUGACUGAUGGCAAUACUGGCUUUGGAGAGUGGACUGCAAAGAAUAUCAAAUAUCUCUCACUGCAUGUUCAAGAUGGCCCCACAUGAAGAAGGAAUCCAUAUAUGGUCCAUUGACUUUGAGAUGACCCCUUGAUACUUUUGUAAGAAAGAAAGCUGUUUGCAAUUAUGUUAUCCAACAACCUAAAUCUGACUGACAGUGAGAAACAAUUUGCUAUGACUUUAAUAUGCAGAGAAUUUUUGUGAAUGUCCAGAUUUGUGUGGAGGGAAAGACAAUACUAUUUUCUUUUAGAAUAUAAACAAGAUUUACAUUCUGGGGAAAGCACGCCACAUGGUCUGAGUGCCUUGUGAUAAAAUCUUUAAGGCUGUCAUUUAACCACUAGGGACCUCAGAUACAGGACUGACUCAAUACCUGAUGCAUGUAUGUAUGUAUGCAUGUGUAUAUGUAUGCAUGCAUGUGUAUAAACAUACAUAUGUAUGUAAAACAUAGACAUGUUUUGGUAUAGCUUUGUUCUGAUAGUGAACUAUAAGCUUCUAUGUGUGUUGACGUUUUAAAUUGACUUGCAAUACUUUGCAAAAAUGAAUGAGUCUGAUGAACCUGAAUGUAUAAAUGAAUGACUUACUGAAAAAUUAUACAACCAAGAGAUCGCAUAAAGUCUUCAAAAUGUAUUUAUCAUUAUACUUACAUGUCUGAAAAUGUCAUAAGGAAAGUUAUUACACUGUAGGCUAACCAAAAAUUCAUUUUAAAAUAUGUGCAAUUUUCUCCCUCUGCAUGUGACAUGGACUUCUUGAAAUAGUCUGUCUUUUUAAUUCUGUUUUCUUUUGUUUUCCUAAAAUGGAAAUGCCUAAGCAAAAUUUAUUUUUAGUUAUACAAAUAAUACAUGCAUACAUUAUUUCUGUGAAAAUGUGAACAUUUGACUGAGCUAAAUUCCCCACUAAAAACAAACAUAACUCUAACCAUCUCCCACAAUCAGGAAAAAUUAAUACUCCCUUCCACACCUUUGCUGUGCUCUUACCUAAGCCCACACCUUUACUGGAACCUAUGCCUCUGCUUGGGCCUGUAUCUGUGUGAAAAUUAAGUUUCUGAACAAUAUAUAGAAUAAAACCUGGUAUUUUAUUAUAUUAUGCAUUGUUACAAUUUCAAUGUUUGUUACCUCCAAAAGUCAUGUUACAAUAAUUCUCUUCAUCGGGUGCUAAGAGGCAGAACCUAAAAGAGCUGACUAGCUCAGCCAGGCUCACCCACCCCCCACCCUGUGAGGGUGGAACGGCCGUGGUAGAAGAGCAAAUUCGGCUCCCUUUGCUCUUUGCCCGUGGGCCUCCUGCCCUGUGAAGAUGCAACGUUUC